CAUACCGCGUGGGUGAAGAAGGCCUUCGGGUUGUAAAGCCCUUUUGUUGGGAAAGAAAUCCAGCUGGCUAAUACCCGGUUGGGAUGACGGUACCCAAAGAAUAAGCACCGGCUAACUUCGUGCCAGCAGCCGCGGUAAUACGAAGGGUGCAAGCGUUACUCGGAAUUACUGGGCGUAAAGCGUGCGUAGGUGGUCGUUUAAGUCCGUUGUGAAAGCCCUGGGCUCAACCUGGGAACUGCAGUGGAUACUGGGCGACUAGAGUGUGGUAGAGGGUAGCGGAAUUCCUGGUGUAGCAGUGAAAUGCGUAGAGAUCAGGAGGAACAUCCAUGGCGAAGGCAGCUACCUGGACCAACACUGACACUGAGGCACGAAAGCGUGGGGAGCAAACAGGAUUAGAUACCCUGGUAGUCCACGCCCUAAACGAUGCGAACUGGAUGUUGGGUGCAAUUUGGCACGCAGUAUCGAAGCUAACGCGUUAAGUUCGCCGCCUGGGGAGUACGGUCGCAAGACUGAAACUCAAAUGAAUUGACGG
RNAcentral lists this ribosomal RNA (532 nucleotides) under Stenotrophomonas maltophilia. RNAcentral's name for it is "bacterial SSU rRNA". It matches the Rfam family "Bacterial small subunit ribosomal RNA", at positions 393 to 916 of the family's 1533-position model. The record is from RNAcentral. Lineage: Bacteria; Pseudomonadati; Pseudomonadota; Gammaproteobacteria; Lysobacterales; Lysobacteraceae.